This 1176-nucleotide ribosomal RNA is filed under the name Salmonella enterica subsp. enterica serovar Montevideo. RNAcentral's name for it is "partial 23S ribosomal RNA". It matches the Rfam family "Bacterial large subunit ribosomal RNA", at positions 1752 to 2925 of the family's 2925-position model. Lineage: Bacteria; Pseudomonadati; Pseudomonadota; Gammaproteobacteria; Enterobacterales; Enterobacteriaceae. The record is from RNAcentral.
UUACUCAUGGAGCUGAAGUCAGUCGAAGAUACCAGCUGGCUGCAACUGUUUAUUAAAAACACAGCACUGUGCAAACACGAAAGUGGACGUAUACGGUGUGACGCCUGCCCGGUGCCGGAAGGUUAAUUGAUGGGGUCAGCGCAAGCGAAGCUCCUGAUCGAAGCCCCGGUAAACGGCGGCCGUAACUAUAACGGUCCUAAGGUAGCGAAAUUCCUUGUCGGGUAAGUUCCGACCUGCACGAAUGGCGUAAUGAUGGCCAGGCUGUCUCCACCCGAGACUCAGUGAAAUUGAACUCGCUGUGAAGAUGCAGUGUACCCGCGGCAAGACGGAAAGACCCCGUGAACCUUUACUAUAGCUUGACACUGAACAUUGAGCCUUGAUGUGUAGGAUAGGUGGGAGGCUUUGAAGUGUGGACGCCAGUCUGCAUGGAGCCGACCUUGAAAUACCACCCUUUAAUGUUUGAUGUUCUAACGUGGACCCGUGAUCCGGGUUGCGGACAGUGUCUGGUGGGUAGUUUGACUGGGGCGGUCUCCUCCUAAAGAGUAACGGAGGAGCACGAAGGUUGGCUAAUCCUGGUCGGACAUCAGGAGGUUAGUGCAAUGGCAUAAGCCAGCUUGACUGCGAGCGUGACGGCGCGAGCAGGUGCGAAAGCAGGUCAUAGUGAUCCGGUGGUUCUGAAUGGAAGGGCCAUCGCUCAACGGAUAAAAGGUACUCCGGGGAUAACAGGCUGAUACCGCCCAAGAGUUCAUAUCGACGGCGGUGUUUGGCACCUCGAUGUCGGCUCAUCACAUCCUGGGGCUGAAGUAGGUCCCAAGGGUAUGGCUGUUCGCCAUUUAAAGUGGUACGCGAGCUGGGUUUAGAACGUCGUGAGACAGUUCGGUCCCUAUCUGCCGUGGGCGCUGGAGAACUGAGGGGGGCUGCUCCUAGUACGAGAGGACCGGAGUGGACGCAUCACUGGUGUUCGGGUUGUCAUGCCAAUGGCACUGCCCGGUAGCUAAAUGCGGAAGAGAUAAGUGCUGAAAGCAUCUAAGCACGAAACUUGCCCCGAGAUGAGUUCUCCCUGAGACUUUAGGUCUCCUGAAGGAACGUUGAAGACGACGACGUUGAUAGGCCGGGUGUGUAAGCGCAGCGAUGCGUUGAGCUAACCGGUACUAAUGAACCGUGAGGCUUAACCUU